CUGCUGCGGGCAGAUGAAGUGGACAUGGCUGUCGAUGCCGCCCGCUGUGACAAUGAGCCCUUCUCCCGAGAUUACCUCGGUGCCGGCGCCGAUGUAAAACGUGACGCCGUCCUGGAUGUCAGGAUUGCCGGCGCUGCCGAUGGCGGCGAUGUAGCCGUCCUUGAUGCCGAUGUCCGCCUUGUAGAUGCCGGUAUAGUCAACAAUCAGAGCAUUGGUGAUAACGGUGUCGACUGUCUCCGUGCAGGAAAGCUGAGACUGCCCCUGGCCGUCACG
Molecule: small RNA, 273 nt
Filed under: bovine gut metagenome
Description: 5' ureB small RNA
Rfam family: 5' ureB small RNA
Source: RNAcentral